RNAcentral lists this microRNA precursor (86 nucleotides) under Mus pahari (shrew mouse). RNAcentral describes it as "microRNA 6903 (MGP_PahariEiJ_G0007503.1)". Lineage: Eukaryota; Metazoa; Chordata; Mammalia; Rodentia; Muridae. The record is from RNAcentral.
CCCUUUUGUGGAAAGCAGUACUUGCCACGACUUCAGGUGGCACGCGUGUGUUCACUGUCGUGUGUGUCUGUUUUUCCCAGGUAUCA